UAUACACAUCAGACUCUGCUGAUGAUUUCUGAAUUAUUCUGCGGGUGUAAUGGAAGUUUCUCCAGACAUGUCAAAAGCUAAGUGGACAUGGAAAAGAGGACAACCUGUUUUUCAGCGUAGGAGACCACAGAAUCUACAGUACAGAACCCAGAUCAAUACAGCAGGAAAUAGUCUCGCAAAGUAAGGUUCUUUUGUAAGUGUAACUGUGAUGUAAA
Molecule: long non-coding RNA, 215 nt
Organism: Aquila chrysaetos chrysaetos
Lineage: Eukaryota; Metazoa; Chordata; Aves; Accipitriformes; Accipitridae
Exons: 2
Source: RefSeq, a predicted model, not a curated record